Molecule: ribosomal RNA, 406 nt
Filed under: uncultured bacterium
Lineage: Bacteria
Description: partial 16S ribosomal RNA
Rfam family: Bacterial small subunit ribosomal RNA
Source: RNAcentral
AUUGAACGCUGGCGGCAUGCCUUACACAUGCAAGUCGGACGAGUGGCGGACGGGUGAGUAACGCAUCGGAACGUACCGGGUAAUGGGGGAUAACUGUCCGAAAGGGUAGCUAAUACCGCAUAUUAUUCGAGCGGCCGAUGUGUGAUUAGCUGGUGGGCGGGGUAAAGGCCCACCAAGGCGACGAUCCGUAGAUGGUCUGAGAGGAUGAUCCGCCACACUGGGACUGAGACACGGCCCAGACUCCUACGGGAGGCAGCAGUGGGGAAUUUUGGACAAUGGGCGCAAGCCUGAUCCAGCCAUGCCGCGUGUCUGAAGAAGGCCUUCGGGUUGUAAAGGACUUUUGUCAGGGAAGCGGUACCUGAAGAAUAAGCACCGGCUAACUACGUGCCAGCAGCCGCGGUAAUAC